AGAGUUUGAUCCUGGCUCAGGAUGAACGCUGGCGGCGUGCCUAAUACAUGCAAGUCGAGCGAACGGACGAGAAGCUUGCUUCUCUGAUGUUAGCGGCGGACGGGUGAGUAACACGUGGAUAACCUACCUAUAAGACUGGGAUAACUUCGGGAAACCGGAGCUAAUACCGGAUAAUAUUUUGAACCGCAUGGUUCAAAAGUGAAAGACGGUCUUGCUGUCACUUAUAGAUGGAUCCGCGCUGCAUUAGCUAGUUGGUAAGGUAACGGCUUACCAAGGCAACGAUGCAUAGCCGACCUGAGAGGGUGAUCGGCCACACUGGAACUGAGACACGGUCCAGACUCCUACGGGAGGCAGCAGUAGGGAAUCUUCCGCAAUGGGCGAAAGCCUGACGGAGCAACGCCGCGUGAGUGAUGAAGGUCUUCGGAUCGUAAAACUCUGUUAUUAGGGAAGAACAUAUGUGUAAGUAACUGUGCACAUCUUGACGGUACCUAAUCAGAAAGCCACGGCUAACUACGUGCCAGCAGCCGCGGUAAUACGUAGGUGGCAAGCGUUAUCCGGAAUUAUUGGGCGUAAAGCGCGCGUAGGCGGUUUUUUAAGUCUGAUGUGAAAGCCCACGGCUCAACCGUGGAGGGUCAUUGGAAACUGGAAAACUUGAGUGCAGAAGAGGAAAGUGGAAUUCCAUGUGUAGCGGUGAAAUGCGCAGAGAUAUGGAGGAACACCAGUGGCGAAGGCGACUUUCUGGUCUGUAACUGACGCUGAUGUGCGAAAGCGUGGGGAUCAAACAGGAUUAGAUACCCUGGUAGUCCACGCCGUAAACGAUGAGUG
Molecule: ribosomal RNA, 825 nt
Filed under: Staphylococcus aureus M0269
Lineage: Bacteria; Bacillati; Bacillota; Bacilli; Caryophanales; Staphylococcaceae
Description: bacterial SSU rRNA
Rfam family: Bacterial small subunit ribosomal RNA
Source: RNAcentral